Molecule: long non-coding RNA, 209 nt
Filed under: Malus domestica (apple)
Lineage: Eukaryota; Viridiplantae; Streptophyta; Magnoliopsida; Rosales; Rosaceae
Description: long non-coding RNA (MDOM_LNC011318)
Source: RNAcentral
CUUGUAUUAUGUUAUACCUUGUACGGGACACCCUUUUAUUUCACAAACAUGUUUUAACAUCACAACUGCAUGCAACAUGCUAAUUGUUUAUAUAACAAAUGUCUUUUUCCUAUUGCUACUGGGAAAUGCUUAUUAAUAUGUUAAAUUGCAAAUUGUACAUUUUUUUCUUAAAAACCAAACUAAAACCGUUUGAAACCGCACCGAACCGA